AAAAUGGAGGCUAAACAGUAAACAUGACAGAAGACCGAAGUAAACACAUUCUCUGAGAAAAUCAAAAAAAUAUAAUUCGCACUAAAAACAUAAAAAAUGGGAUCUAGAUGAAAACAGGGACCGGAGAAGAGUAAUGUUGCAAUCUAAUGGACAUCAUACCCUCACUUAUAAUUUCUGGGCUAACCCCCUCAGCCCUCAUCGCUACAGGCAUUUGGUUCUUUCCCUUUCUCAUCGCUUCUUUAUCCUACUAUCAAUAUAAUAAGAUUGAUCCUGAACAGAAACCACACAACGCAGAGAAUCUUUUCAAAUAUUAUGAUUUUAUUAUCAUCGGUAAGUUUUUUUU
Eurytemora carolleeae is the source of this 343-nucleotide long non-coding RNA. RefSeq lists it as uncharacterized. NCBI's taxonomy places the organism in Eukaryota, Metazoa, Arthropoda, Copepoda, Calanoida, Temoridae. The record is from RefSeq and is a predicted model, not a curated record. The transcript is spliced from 4 exons.